Non-coding RNA from Pelobates cultripes (western spadefoot toad), 229 nucleotides. The record is from the annotation of a GenBank genome assembly. Lineage: Eukaryota; Metazoa; Chordata; Amphibia; Anura; Pelobatidae.
AAUGCCUUUGAUGUUUUACCAAAACAUAUUUCUAGCAGUCACUGGUAUGCCAUUGAAUAACAUUAAUAUUGUGAACCUAGGUUGAGUAAAAGGCUAGCAAGAAAUCUUACCCGAGACCCUGAUAUUUGACCAUGCUCUACAUUUGAUCCAUUGGUUAACUGAUGCGUCCAAUUGCUAGGACUAAUUUUGUGUGUGAUGUAAAAUUUGAUGGCAGAUAAGAAAUACUGGC